CCUACGGGAGGCAGCAGCGGGGAACCUUCGGGAGGCAGCACUAGGGAAUAUUGCACAAUGGGCGAAAGCCUGAUGCAGCAACGCCGCGUGUGCGAUGAAGGCCUUCGGGUUGUAAAGCACUUUUCUGAGGGAAGAGGAAGGACGGUACCUCAGGAAUAAGUCUCGGCUAACUACGUGCCAGCAGCCGCGGUAAU
This 194-nucleotide ribosomal RNA is filed under the name uncultured bacterium. Its description in RNAcentral is "partial 16S ribosomal RNA". It matches the Rfam family "Bacterial small subunit ribosomal RNA", at positions 312 to 524 of the family's 1533-position model. The record is from RNAcentral.